RNAcentral lists this ribosomal RNA (429 nucleotides) under uncultured Pseudomonas sp. Its description in RNAcentral is "bacterial SSU rRNA". It matches the Rfam family "Bacterial small subunit ribosomal RNA", at positions 952 to 1382 of the family's 1533-position model. The record is from RNAcentral. Lineage: Bacteria; Pseudomonadati; Pseudomonadota; Gammaproteobacteria; Pseudomonadales; Pseudomonadaceae.
CGAAGCAACGCGAAGAACCUUACCAGGCCUUGACAUGCAGAGAACUUUCCAGAGAUGGAUUGGUGCCUUCGGGAACUCUGACACAGGUGCUGCAUGGCUGUCGUCAGCUCGUGUCGUGAGAUGUUGGGUUAAGUCCCGUAACGAGCGCAACCCCUGUCCUUAGUUACCAGCACGUUAUGGUGGGCACUCUAAGGAGACUGCCGGUGCAAACCGGAGGAAGUGGGGAUGACGUCAAGUCAUCAUGACCCUUACGGCCUGGGCUACACACGUGCUACAAUGGUCGGUACAAAGGGUUGCCAAGCCGCGAGGUGGAGCUAAUCCCAUAAAACCGAUCGUAGUCCGGAUCGCAGUCUGCAACUCGACUGCGUGAAGUCGGAAUCGCUAGUAAUCGUGAAUCAGAAUGUCACGGUGAAUACGUUCCCGGGCCUU